GAUGAACGCUGGCGGCGUGCCUAAUACAUGCAAGUCGAGCGAACGGACGAGAAGCUCGCUUCCCUGCUGUUAGCGGCGGACGGGUGAGUAACACGUGGAUCACCUACCUAUAAUACUGGGAUAACUUCGGGAAACCGGUGCUACUACCGGAUAAUACUUUGAACCGCAUGGUUCAAAAGUGCAUGACGGCCUUGCUGUCUCUUUUAGAUGGAUCCGCGCUGGAUUAGCUAGUUGGUAAGGUAACGGCUUACCAAGGCAACGAUGCAUAGCCGGCCUGAGAGGGUGAUCGGCCACACUGGAACUGAGACACGGUCCAGAAUCCUACGGGAGGCAGCAGUAGGGAAUAUUCCGCAAUGGGCGAAAGCCUGAUGGAGCAACGCCGCGUGAGUGAUGAAGGUCUUCGGAUCGUAAAACUCUGUUAUUAGGGAAGAAAAGAUGUGUAAGUAACUGUGCACAUCUUGACGGUACCUAAUCAGAAAGCCACGGCUAACUACGUG
This 497-nucleotide ribosomal RNA is filed under the name uncultured bacterium. RNAcentral describes it as "partial 16S ribosomal RNA". It matches the Rfam family "Bacterial small subunit ribosomal RNA", at positions 28 to 507 of the family's 1533-position model. The record is from RNAcentral.